GAGAAAAUCACAUAUAUAUUUAAAAAUUAAUUAUUUUAUUAUUUAUAUUUUAUUAAUUUUGUUUUCUGUAUUUUAAAAUAUAUUUUAUAAAAUAAAUCAGUAAUUUUUUCUUAUCCUAUCCUGCUGGUAACCCAGCUCAAAUUCAGGAUAAGAAUUAUAACUAGAGAGACAGGAUAGGAUAAACUUCAGGAUUAACUUAUCAUAUCCUGCUGUAUCACCAAACACUGGAUUGCGGCAGGAUAUGAUACAGUUAUCCUAUCCUGUCUCUUAUCAUGUCCACCUAAUGCUCUUUUUCCUAUUGUUUGUUCAAUUUUUUUUUUCCUAUUAUACUCAUAACUAUUUAUUACUCUCUCUUCUUUCAAUUCUUUAAUUUAUUUUUUUCAUAUCAUAAAUGAAGGACAAUUUUGUAAAUCAACUCAUAAUCUCUCUUUUCCAUACAACAUUAAUUAACUUUCUUAAUAUAUGUAAAAGUGUUAAAGCGACAUAUAUUGUGGUACGGAGGGAGUAACAAACAUAUGAUGACACUAUCAAUAAUAUAUUUUCAUUAAGAGAAAUUAUAAGAUUAACAUUAAGAUGAGCAAUGAAAAUGGAAGGUCAUGAUAGAGAAAUAAGACUUACUAUCUUAACCUUUUACAUUCAUUUCUAAAGCACGCCAUUGUUCCCCGAGGAGCAUUUGGAAAGCUUAUAUAGCAAUCUUCGUCAGUUUCGCACUUUGCUUUAUUGUAUGUA
Molecule: long non-coding RNA, 729 nt
Filed under: Trifolium pratense (red clover)
Lineage: Eukaryota; Viridiplantae; Streptophyta; Magnoliopsida; Fabales; Fabaceae
Description: long non-coding RNA (TPRA_LNC008771)
Source: RNAcentral